GCCCCUGUAGCGCAAUGGAUUGUGCUUUGGACUUCUAUUCCAAAGGGCGUGGGUUCGAAUCCCACCUGAGAUG
RNAcentral lists this transfer RNA (73 nucleotides) under Trichonephila inaurata madagascariensis. It matches the Rfam family "tRNA". From Rfam's summary of the family: Transfer RNA (tRNA) molecules are approximately 80 nucleotides in length. Their secondary structure includes four short double-helical elements and three loops (D, anti-codon, and T loops). The record is from Rfam by way of RNAcentral. Lineage: Eukaryota; Metazoa; Arthropoda; Arachnida; Araneae; Nephilidae.